CCCUGCCAUUCCCAUCCACAAGUGUGUGGCCAUCGCUCUCUGGAAGCUACCAAUCUGUAGCAAACCAGUUUGGUGUGGGGAGAUCCACUGUCAGAGCAGUGCUCAUGCAGGUGGUCAAGGCCAUCAACAGAGUGCUGCUCCACAGAAUCAUCCACCUCACUGAUGUAGAUGCAGUAAUCGAGUGGUUUGGCGCCCUGGGUUUCCCCAACUGUGUGUGUGGAGGGGGAAAUUGACGGGACGCACAUCCCCAUCCGUGCCCCAGACCACCAGGCCUCCCUCUACAUCAACCGGAAGGGGUACUUCUCGGUCAUGCUGCAGGCUGUCUCUGACCACAGGGGCCAGUUUGUGGACAUCAAUGUGGGCUGGUCCAGCAAAGCACACGACACACAGGUUUACCGCAACUCCUUCAUGUGCCAAAGGCUGCACAUCGGGACUUUCUUCCCCGACCACCACAUCAUGUUCAGGAAUGUGGACGUGCCUGUGUGCCUGGUGGGGGAUGUGGCCUAUCCCCUACAACUCUAGCUGAUGAAGCCCUACAUGGGACACCUCAACCCCUCCCAACAGGCCUUUAAUGCCAAGCUCGGCAGGGCCCACAUCAUGGUGAAGGGGGCGUUCAGCUGGUUGAAAGCCCAUUUUUAGAUGCCUCCUCACCCGCCUGGACCCAUCCGAGUGGAAUAUUCCACAUAUGGUGGCAGCAUGUUGUGUGCUGCAUAAUUUGUGCGAGAAGAAGGGGGAGGCUUUCCUGCCGGGCUGAAUGGCAGAGGCCGACCACUUGGCUGGCCUGUAUGCGCAGCCCCACAUAGCUGCUAGCCGGGGGCCCAUCGGCGGGCUGUUGGUAUCCGGGAGGCCCUGCAGGAAAGCUUCCACCUGAGGAGGACUAAAGUUUCCCGGGUGUGCCUCACUGAGGCCUUGUGCCUCAUUUCACCCUCACGUCCUUUCACUGACCCCUCCCUAACCCCCCUUCCCAUUAAAUAGAGACACAUGUGUUGACGAAAA
Molecule: non-coding RNA, 996 nt
Organism: Pelodiscus sinensis (Chinese soft-shelled turtle)
Lineage: Eukaryota; Metazoa; Chordata; Testudines; Trionychidae
Source: RefSeq, a predicted model, not a curated record